Molecule: microRNA, 22 nt
Filed under: Caenorhabditis elegans
Lineage: Eukaryota; Metazoa; Nematoda; Chromadorea; Rhabditida; Rhabditidae
Description: cel-miR-4933
Source: miRBase by way of RNAcentral
UGGCAGUGACCUAUUCUGGCCA